ACGGAGGAUGCGAGCGUUAUCCGGAUUUAUUGGGUUUAAAGGGUGCGCAGGCGGCGUGCCAAGUCAGCGGUAAAAAUGCGGUGCUCAACGCCGUAUAGCCGUUGAAACUGACAUGCUAGAGUGAGCGAGAAGUAUGCGGAAUGCGUGGUGUAGCGGUGAAAUGCAUAGAUAUCACGCAGAACCCCGAUUGCGAAGGCAGCAUACCGGCGCUCAACUGACGCUCAGGCACGAAAGUGCGGGGAUCAAACAG
This 250-nucleotide ribosomal RNA is filed under the name uncultured bacterium. RNAcentral's name for it is "partial 16S ribosomal RNA". It matches the Rfam family "Bacterial small subunit ribosomal RNA", at positions 525 to 775 of the family's 1533-position model. The record is from RNAcentral.